RNAcentral lists this ribosomal RNA (434 nucleotides) under Pachyiulus varius. RNAcentral's name for it is "partial 16S ribosomal RNA". It matches the Rfam family "Archaeal large subunit ribosomal RNA", at positions 1907 to 2592 of the family's 2987-position model. Lineage: Eukaryota; Metazoa; Arthropoda; Diplopoda; Julida; Julidae. The record is from RNAcentral.
AUGGCUUCUUGGGGGCAUUAAAUAAGAAGUUAGGCCUGCUCACUGAUAUUUAAAGAGCUGCAGUAUUAUGACUGUACAAAGGUAGCAAAAUCAUUAGUCUUUUGAUUGAAGACCAGUAUGAAAGGUUGUUCGGGGAGAUACUAUUAAAAGUUUUAUAUUUUGAAGUUAUCAUUUUUGUGCAAAGACAAAAAUAAAAGUAAGGGACAAGAAGACCCCUUUAAGUUUAAUUUAUUACUAAGGUUUUAUUAAUAAUUAAUAACAAAAUGAAUUUUAGUGUUAAAAUUUGCUGGGGCGGCCGGUAGAGAUCAUUACCUUAAGAGAUAUAAAGAUAUUUAGCUAAAAAGUUGAGCUUGAAGAGGACUAUAAGAAUAAACUACUAAGGGGAUAACAGCGUUAUAUUAUUUAAUAGUUCUUAUUGACAAUGGUGUUUGCGA